Molecule: long non-coding RNA, 445 nt
Filed under: Marmota monax (woodchuck)
Lineage: Eukaryota; Metazoa; Chordata; Mammalia; Rodentia; Sciuridae
Source: RNAcentral
AUUUUCCCAAAGGGAGCCGACAGGGCCAAAAGGCCUGGUUCAGUCCCCUGACCCUGGUGAUAAUCCAGGGAAAGGGAUCAGGAAAAUGGGCCUGGCAGGGACAGGGAUGACAGGAGGGCCGAAGAAAGGCAGAGCGUGAAGGGCCCGAGGAACGGUGUUGGUGGGGUGGGGACCAGGACCCCAGCAAGGAGCCCAGGCUAGGGACCUAGAGGGGCGCCCCGGCCAGGGAAGAGCUGGGAAGGGUGGGGCCAGGCAGCAGGGUGGCACCAGCGUUCUGCAGUGCAGAGAAGCCAAGGGGAGCAGGAAGCGGCCCAAGCGAGGUGCCCACAGUCCAAGCCCAGGGAUGCCCAGAGCAAGAAGGGCCACCAGAGGCUCAAGCGAGAAGCCAGGCCAGGGAAUGGAGAGCCAAGGGCCAGGGCUGUUCCAGGGGGUUUAGGACAAUGGA